This 490-nucleotide ribosomal RNA is filed under the name uncultured bacterium. RNAcentral describes it as "partial 16S ribosomal RNA". It matches the Rfam family "Bacterial small subunit ribosomal RNA", at positions 30 to 507 of the family's 1533-position model. The record is from RNAcentral.
AUUGAACGCUGGCGGCAGGCCUAACACAUGCAAGUCGAACGGUAACAGGAAGCAGCUUGCUGCUUUGCUGACGAGUGGCGGACGGGUGAGUAAUGUCUGGGAAACUGCCUGAUGGAGGGGGAUAACUACUGGAAACGGUAGCUAAUACCGCAUAACGUCGCAAGACCAAAGAGGGGGACCUUAGGGCCUCUUGCCAUCGGAUGUGCCCAGAUGGGAUUAGCUAGUAGGUGGGGUAACGGCUCACCUAGGCGACGAUCCCUAGCUGGUCUGAGAGGAUGACCAGCCACACUGGAACUGAGACACGGUCCAGACUCCUACGGGAGGCAGCAGUGGGGAAUAUUGCACAAUGGGCGCAAGCCUGAUGCAGCCAUGCCGCGUGUAUGAAGAUGGCCUUCGGGUUGUAAAGUACUUUCAGCGGGGAGGAAGGGAGUAAAGUUAAUACCUUUGCUCAUUGACGUUACCCGCAGAAGAAGCACCGGCUAACUCCGUG